UACGUAGGGUGCAAGCGUUAAUCGGAAUUACUGGGCGUAAAGCGUGCGCAGGCGGUUUUGUAAGACGGAUGUGAAAUCCCCGGGCUCAACCUGGGAACUGCAUUCGUGACUGCAAGGCUAGAGUAUGGCAGAGGGGGGUAGAAUUCCACGUGUAGCAGUGAAAUGCGUAGAGAUGUGGAGGAAUACCGAUGGCGAAGGCAGCCCCCUGGGCCAAUACUGACGCUCAUGCA
RNAcentral lists this ribosomal RNA (230 nucleotides) under uncultured microorganism. RNAcentral describes it as "partial 16S ribosomal RNA". It matches the Rfam family "Bacterial small subunit ribosomal RNA", at positions 524 to 753 of the family's 1533-position model. The record is from RNAcentral.